GUCUCCGUUGGUGAACCAGCGGAGGGAUCAUUACCGAGUUUACAACUCCCAAACCCCUAUGUGAACGUUACCAAACUGUUGCCUCGGCGGGAAAUUCAUGCCCCGGGCGCGUCGCAGCCCCGGACCAAGGCGCCCGCCGGAGGACUAACCAAAACUCUUUUGUAUGUCCCUCGCGGACUUUUAUAAUUCUGAACCAUCUCGGCGCCCCUAGCGGGCGUUUCGAAAAUGAAUCAAAACUUUCAACAACGGAUCUCUUGGUUCUG
RNAcentral lists this unclassified non-coding RNA (263 nucleotides) under plant metagenome. Its description in RNAcentral is "partial contains small subunit ribosomal RNA, internal transcribed spacer 1, and 5.8S ribosomal RNA". The record is from RNAcentral.